This 429-nucleotide ribosomal RNA is filed under the name uncultured bacterium. Its description in RNAcentral is "bacterial SSU rRNA". It matches the Rfam family "Bacterial small subunit ribosomal RNA", at positions 355 to 801 of the family's 1533-position model. The record is from RNAcentral.
UCGGGAAUUUUGGGCAAUGGGCGAAAGCCUGACCCAGCAACGCCGCGUGAAGGAUGAAGUAUUUCGGUAUGUAAACUUCGAAAGAAUAGGAAGAAUAAAUGACGGUACUAUUUGUAAGGUCCGGCUAACUACGUGCCAGCAGCCGCGGUAAUACGUAGGGACCAAGCGUUGUUCGGAUUUACUGGGCGUAAAGGGCGCGUAGGCGGCGUGGUAAGUCACUUGUGAAAUCUCCGAGCUUAACUCGGAACGGUCAAGUGAUACUGCUGUGCUAGAGUACAGAAGGGGCAAUCGGAAUUCUUGGUGUAGCGGUGAAAUGCGUAGAUAUCAAGAGGAACACCUGAGGUGAAGACGGGUUGCUGGGCUGAUACUGACGCUGAGGCGCGAAAGCUAGGGUAGCAAACGGGAUUAGAUACCCAGGUAGUCCCUGAG